Molecule: small nucleolar RNA, 95 nt
Organism: Mandrillus leucophaeus (drill)
Lineage: Eukaryota; Metazoa; Chordata; Mammalia; Primates; Cercopithecidae
Source: Ensembl
UGUGCCCAUGAUAUUGGGGCAAAGAGGAAGUGGCUAUUUCUACACUUGGUGUUCAGAAAUCAGUGAGCUCUAAGAAUGGUUUAUAGCCUGACAUU